UACGAGGGGGGCAAAUGUUGUUCGGAAUCACUGGGCGUAAAGGGAGCGUAGGCGGGGUUUUAAGUCAGGUGUUUAAUCCCGGGGCCCAACCCCGGACCGGCACUUGAAACUGGGAAUCUUGAAUAGGGGAGAGGUCAGUGGAAUUGGAGGUGUAGCGGUGGAAUGCGUAGAGAUCUCCAAGAACACCAGUUGCGAAGGCGGCUGACUGGACCCAUAUUGACGCUGAGGCUCGAAAGCAUGGGGAGCAAACAGG
RNAcentral lists this ribosomal RNA (253 nucleotides) under uncultured bacterium. RNAcentral describes it as "partial 16S ribosomal RNA". It matches the Rfam family "Bacterial small subunit ribosomal RNA", at positions 524 to 776 of the family's 1533-position model. The record is from RNAcentral.